Non-coding RNA from Pelobates cultripes (western spadefoot toad), 122 nucleotides. Lineage: Eukaryota; Metazoa; Chordata; Amphibia; Anura; Pelobatidae. The record is from the annotation of a GenBank genome assembly.
AAGCCACACUCUGGGGCAGAUGACUUUCUUCUGUCACAAUUUUUCGCUUGCUAAAUUAAUCACAAGCCUAAGAUUACAGUAUUUUCUUUGAGAAAUGUACUAUUCUGUAGGCUAUUGACAUU